CCCUUGACAUGGUCGGAACCCUUGAGAGAUCAGGGGGUGCUCGAAAGAGAACCGAUACACAGGUGCUGCAUGGCUGUCGUCAGCUCGUGUCGUGAGAUGUUGGGUUAAGUCCCGCAACGAGCGCAACCCUUGUCCUUAGUUACCAGCACGUAAUGGUGGGCACUCUAAGGAGACUGCCGGUGACAAACCGGAGGAAGGUGGGGAUGACGUCAAGUCAUCAUGACCCUUACGGCCUGGGCUACACACGUGCUACAAUGGUCGGUACAGAGGGUUGCCAAGCCGCGAGGUGGAGCUAAUCUCACAAAACCGAUCGUAGUCCGGAUCGCAGUCUGCAACUCGACUGCGUGAAGUCGGAAUCGCUAGUAAUCGCGAAUCAGAAUGUCGCGGUGAAUACGUUCCC
RNAcentral lists this ribosomal RNA (400 nucleotides) under uncultured Alcaligenes sp. RNAcentral's name for it is "bacterial SSU rRNA". It matches the Rfam family "Bacterial small subunit ribosomal RNA", at positions 978 to 1375 of the family's 1533-position model. The record is from RNAcentral. Lineage: Bacteria; Pseudomonadati; Pseudomonadota; Betaproteobacteria; Burkholderiales; Alcaligenaceae.